GAGUGCUGGACUCUGAGGUUGUUUCCCUUUGUCACUGCCCUUAUCAACCCUCUGGCUCUGGACUGUCCUGGCUUCAUGAUGAGACCCAUUAGAUUCACUAUGCUGUGUUGGAGGCUGCCUCUGUAUUGGCACAUCAAGGCCCUUAGUUCUCCAUUCCUGGACUGCCUUUGGCUUCCACACUUGUGUAGGUUGUUUUGGGAUUUUCUUUUGCAGCACUGCACAAUUGUGUCCUAAUGUUUGGCAUUUCUCA
RNAcentral lists this long non-coding RNA (250 nucleotides) under Nicotiana benthamiana. RNAcentral's name for it is "long non-coding RNA (NBEN_LNC014819)". Lineage: Eukaryota; Viridiplantae; Streptophyta; Magnoliopsida; Solanales; Solanaceae. The record is from RNAcentral.